This 494-nucleotide ribosomal RNA is filed under the name uncultured bacterium. RNAcentral's name for it is "partial 16S ribosomal RNA". It matches the Rfam family "Bacterial small subunit ribosomal RNA", at positions 28 to 507 of the family's 1533-position model. The record is from RNAcentral.
GACGAACGCUGGCGGCGUGCUUAACACAUGCAAGUCGAACGGUUAAGCGCCUUCCUUUUUGGUGGGUGUGGAUGAGUGGCGAACGGGUGAGUAACACGUGAGUAACCUGCACCCUUCUUCUGGAUAACCGCAUGAAAGUGUGGCCAAUACGGGAUAUUCUGGGUCUGUCGCAUGAUGGGUCUGGGAAAGAUAUUGUUUCGGUGGGGGGUGGGCUCGCGGCCUAUCCGCUUGUUGGUGGGGUGAUGGCCUACCAAGGCGGGGACGGGUGCCCGGCCUGGGGGGGUGGACGGGCACAUGGGGACUGAGGCACGGCCCAGACUGGUACGGGACGCAGCCGUGGGGAAUAGUGGACAAUGGGCGCGAGCAUGAUGCAGCGACGGCGCGUGAGGGAUGGAGGCCUUCGGGGUGUGAACCGCUUGCGCCAGGGAAGCAGGCCUGCCUCGUUUGUGGGUGGGUUGACGGUAGCUGGAGAAGAAGCGCCGGCUAACUACGUG